This 404-nucleotide ribosomal RNA is filed under the name Micrococcus sp. oral taxon F54. RNAcentral describes it as "bacterial SSU rRNA". It matches the Rfam family "Bacterial small subunit ribosomal RNA", at positions 28 to 432 of the family's 1533-position model. Lineage: Bacteria; Bacillati; Actinomycetota; Actinomycetes; Micrococcales; Micrococcaceae. The record is from RNAcentral.
GAUGAACGCUGGCGGCGUGCUUAACACAUGCAAGUCGAACGAUGAAGCCCAGCUUGCUGGGUGGAUUAGUGGCGAACGGGUGAGUAACACGUGAGUAACCUGCCCUUGACUCUGGGAUAAGCCCGGGAAACUGGGUCUAAUACCGGAUAGGAGCGCCUGUCGCAUGACGGGUGCUGGAAAGAUUUUUCGGUCAUGGAUGGACUCGCGGCCUAUCAGCUUGUUGGUGAGGUAAUGGCUCACCAAGGCGACGACGGGUAGCCGGCCUGAGAGGGUGACCGGCCACACUGGGACUGAGACACGGCCCAGACUCCUACGGGAGGCAGCAGUGGGGAAUAUUGCACAAUGGGCGGAAGCCUGAUGCAGCGACGCCGCGUGAGGGAUGACGGCCUUCGGGUUGUAAACCU